Molecule: ribosomal RNA, 441 nt
Filed under: Fusarium redolens
Lineage: Eukaryota; Fungi; Ascomycota; Sordariomycetes; Hypocreales; Nectriaceae
Description: eukaryotic LSU rRNA
Source: RNAcentral
AGAGGACCCCUAAACUCUGUUUCUAUAUGUAACUUCUGAGUAAAACCWUAAAUAAAUCAAAACUUUCAACAACGGAUCUCUUGGUUCUGGCAUCGAUGAAGAACGCAGCAAAAUGCGAUAAGUAAUGUGAAUUGCAGAAUUCAGUGAAUCAUCGAAUCUUUGAACGCACAUUGCGCCCGCCAGUAUUCUGGCGGGCAUGCCUGUUCGAGCGUCAUUUCAACCCUCAAGCCCUCGGGUUUGGUGUUGGGGAUCGGCGAGCCUUUCUGGCAAGCCGGCCCCGAAAUCUAGUGGCGGUCUCGCUGCAGCCUCCAUUGCGUAGUAGUAAAACCCUCGCAACUGGAACGCGGCGCGGCCAAGCCGUUAAACCCCCAACUUCUGAAUGUUGACCUCGGAUCAGGUAGGAAUACCCGCUGAACUUAAGCAUAUCAAUAAGCGGAGGAA